This 404-nucleotide ribosomal RNA is filed under the name Actinomycetes bacterium. RNAcentral's name for it is "Actinobacteria bacterium partial 16S ribosomal RNA". It matches the Rfam family "Bacterial small subunit ribosomal RNA", at positions 355 to 776 of the family's 1533-position model. Lineage: Bacteria; Bacillati; Actinomycetota; Actinomycetes. The record is from RNAcentral.
UGGGGAAUAUUUGACAAUGGGCGCAAGCCUGAUCCAGCCAUGCCGCGUGAGUGAUGAAGGCCCUAGGGUUGUAAAGCUCUUUCACCGGUGAAGAUAAUGACGGUAACCGGAGAAGAAGCCCCGGCUAACUUCGUGCCAGCAGCCGCGGUAAUACGAAGGGGGCUAGCGUUGUUCGGAUUUACUGGGCGUAAAGCGCACGUAGGCGGACUAUUAAGUCAGGGGUGAAAUCCCGGGGCUCAACCCCGGAACUGCCUUUGAUACUGGUAGUCUUGAGUUCGAGAGAGGUGAGUGGAAUUCCGAGUGUAGAGGUGAAAUUCGUAGAUAUUCGGAGGAACACCAGUGGCGAAGGCGGCUCACUGGCUCGAUACUGACGCUGGGGUGCGAAAGCGUGGGGAGCAAACAGG